GGAGCUGUGGUACAGUGGGUUAAUGCCCUGGCCUAAAGCGCCAGCAUCCCAUAUGGGCGCUGGUUCGAAUCCCGGCUGCUCCA
RNAcentral lists this transfer RNA (83 nucleotides) under Oryctolagus cuniculus (rabbit). It matches the Rfam family "tRNA". From Rfam's summary of the family: Transfer RNA (tRNA) molecules are approximately 80 nucleotides in length. Their secondary structure includes four short double-helical elements and three loops (D, anti-codon, and T loops). Further hydrogen bonds mediate the characteristic L-shaped molecular structure. tRNAs have two regions of fundamental functional importance: the anti-codon, which is responsible for specific mRNA codon recognition, and the 3' end, to which the tRNAs corresponding amino acid is attached (by aminoacyl-tRNA synthetases). tRNAs cope with the degeneracy of the genetic code in two manners: having more than one tRNA (with a specific anti-codon) for a particular amino acid; and 'wobble' base-pairing, i.e. permitting non-standard base-pairing at the 3rd anti-codon position. Lineage: Eukaryota; Metazoa; Chordata; Mammalia; Lagomorpha; Leporidae. The record is from Rfam by way of RNAcentral.